Molecule: ribosomal RNA, 2925 nt
Filed under: Escherichia coli ISC41
Lineage: Bacteria; Pseudomonadati; Pseudomonadota; Gammaproteobacteria; Enterobacterales; Enterobacteriaceae
Description: LSU rRNA
Rfam family: Bacterial large subunit ribosomal RNA
Source: RNAcentral
GGUUAAGCGACUAAGCGUACACGGUGGAUGCCCUGGCAGUCAGAGGCGAUGAAGGACGUGCUAAUCUGCGAUAAGCGUCGGUGAGGUGAUAUGAACCGUUAUAACCGGCGAUUUCCGAAUGGGGAAACCCAGUGUGUUUCGACACACUAUCAUUAACUGAAUCCAUAGGUUAAUGAGGCGAACCGGGGGAACUGAAACAUCUAAGUACCCCGAGGAAAAGAAAUCAACCGAGAUUCCCCCAGUAGCGGCGAGCGAACGGGGAGGAGCCCAGAGCCUGAAUCAGUGUGUGUGUUAGUGGAAGCGUCUGGAAAGGCGCGCGAUACAGGGUGACAGCCCCGUACACAAAAAUGCACAUAUUGUGAGCUCGAUGAGUAGGGCGGGACACGUGGUAUCCUGUCUGAAUAUGGGGGGACCAUCCUCCAAGGCUAAAUACUCCUGACUGACCGAUAGUGAACCAGUACCGUGAGGGAAAGGCGAAAAAGAACCCCGGCGAGGGGAGUGAAAAAGAACCUGAAACCGUGUACGUACAAGCAGUGGGAGCCUCUUAAUGGGGUGACUGCGUACCUUUUGUAUAAUGGGUCAGCGACUUAUAUUCUGUAGCAAGGUUAACCGAAUAGGGGAGCCGAAGGGAAACCGAGUCUUAACUGGGCGUUAAGUUGCAGGGUAUAGACCCGAAACCCGGUGAUCUAGCCAUGGGCAGGUUGAAGGUUGGGUAACACUAACUGGAGGACCGAACCGACUAAUGUUGAAAAAUUAGCGGAUGACUUGUGGCUGGGGGUGAAAGGCCAAUCAAACCGGGAGAUAGCUGGUUCUCCCCGAAAGCUAUUUAGGUAGCGCCUCGUGAAUUCAUCUCCGGGGGUAGAGCACUGUUUCGGCAAGGGGGUCAUCCCGACUUACCAACCCGAUGCAAACUGCGAAUACCGGAGAAUGUUAUCACGGGAGACACACGGCGGGUGCUAACGUCCGUCGUGAAGAGGGAAACAACCCAGACCGCCAGCUAAGGUCCCAAAGUCAUGGUUAAGUGGGAAACGAUGUGGGAAGGCCCAGACAGCCAGGAUGUUGGCUUAGAAGCAGCCAUCAUUUAAAGAAAGCGUAAUAGCUCACUGGUCGAGUCGGCCUGCGCGGAAGAUGUAACGGGGCUAAACCAUGCACCGAAGCUGCGGCAGCGACACUAUGUGUUGUUGGGUAGGGGAGCGUUCUGUAAGCCUGUGAAGGUGGCCUGUGAGGGUUGCUGGAGGUAUCAGAAGUGCGAAUGCUGACAUAAGUAACGAUAAAGCGGGUGAAAAGCCCGCUCGCCGGAAGACCAAGGGUUCCUGUCCAACGUUAAUCGGGGCAGGGUGAGUCGACCCCUAAGGCGAGGCCGAAAGGCGUAGUCGAUGGGAAACAGGUUAAUAUUCCUGUACUUGGUGUUACUGCGAAGGGGGGACGGAGAAGGCUAUGUUGGCCGGGCGACGGUUGUCCCGGUUUAAGCGUGUAGGCUGGUUUUCCAGGCAAAUCCGGAAAAUCAAGGCUGAGGCGUGAUGACGAGGCACUACGGUGCUGAAGCGACAAAUGCCCUGCUUCCAGGAAAAGCCUCUAAGCAUCAGGUAACAUCAAAUCGUACCCCAAACCGACACAGGUGGUCAGGUAGAGAAUACCAAGGCGCUUGAGAGAACUCGGGUGAAGGAACUAGGCAAAAUGGUGCCGUAACUUCGGGAGAAGGCACGCUGAUAUGUAGGUGAAGCGACUUGCUCGUGGAGCUGAAAUCAGUCGAAGAUACCAGCUGGCUGCAACUGUUUAUUAAAAACACAGCACUGUGCAAACACGAAAGUGGACGUAUACGGUGUGACGCCUGCCCGGUGCCGGAAGGUUAAUUGAUGGGGUUAGCGGUAACGCGAAGCUCUUGAUCGAAGCCCCGGUAAACGGCGGCCGUAACUAUAACGGUCCUAAGGUAGCGAAAUUCCUUGUCGGGUAAGUUCCGACCUGCACGAAUGGCGUAAUGAUGGCCAGGCUGUCUCCACCCGAGACUCAGUGAAAUUGAACUCGCUGUGAAGAUGCAGUGUACCCGCGGCAAGACGGAAAGACCCCGUGAACCUUUACUAUAGCUUGACACUGAACAUUGAGCCUUGAUGUGUAGGAUAGGUGGGAGGCUUUGAAGUGUGGACGCCAGUCUGCAUGGAGCCGACCUUGAAAUACCACCCUUUAAUGUUUGAUGUUCUAACGUGGGCCCCUUACCGGGGUUGCGGACAGUGUCUGGUGGGUAGUUUGACUGGGGCGGUCUCCUCCUAAAGAGUAACGGAGGAGCACGAAGGUUGGCUAAUCCUGGUCGGACAUCAGGAGGUUAGUGCAAUGGCAUAAGCCAGCUUGACUGCGAGCGUGACGGCGCGAGCAGGUGCGAAAGCAGGUCAUAGUGAUCCGGUGGUUCUGAAUGGAAGGGCCAUCGCUCAACGGAUAAAAGGUACUCCGGGGAUAACAGGCUGAUACCGCCCAAGAGUUCAUAUCGACGGCGGUGUUUGGCACCUCGAUGUCGGCUCAUCACAUCCUGGGGCUGAAGUAGGUCCCAAGGGUAUGGCUGUUCGCCAUUUAAAGUGGUACGCGAGCUGGGUUUAGAACGUCGUGAGACAGUUCGGUCCCUAUCUGCCGUGGGCGCUGGAGAACUGAGGGGGGCUGCUCCUAGUACGAGAGGACCGGAGUGGACGCAUCACUGGUGUUCGGGUUGUCAUGCCAAUGGCACUGCCCGGUAGCUAAAUGCGGAAGAGAUAAGUGCUGAAAGCAUCUAAGCACGAAACUUGCCCCGAGAUGAGUUCUCCCUGACUCCUUGAGAGUCCUGAAGGAACGUUGAAGACGACGACGUUGAUAGGCCGGGUGUGUAAGCGCAGCGAUGCGUUGAGCUAACCGGUACUAAUGAACCGUGAGGCUUAACCUUACAACGCCGAAGAUGUUUUG